CAAAAUAAGGAUUUGUAGCUUCUUUAUAAGCUAUAGAGCUAACAAAAUCCAAGACGAGUUCUAAAUUAUUUACAAGGGUCAUUUGGACCAGCUAAAGAGGCUAACCAGACACCUGCCUCGGAAAAGAUUACUGGAAGUUGAAAUUCCAUGAAAACAUCUUUUGUUUCUCUCUAUCCAUAAACACCAAAAUAUAGCACCCGGGAUCAUCAUCCAAAUACUCUUGAUGGCUUUGUCAACUUCCCGUGAACUCCAAUUUUCAAGAGCAUGCCUAACAGAGAAAAGCGUGACCCGAAGAAAGACCAAAAAAAACAACAGCACCUAUUCCAAAGGUCCGAGGCAACUGGACAGUGCAGCAGCAAGUGGUUGACACUUUCUGUGCGCUUGUGGCAGAAGUAGCAUCUGUUGGCAAGCUGGAAUUUCUGUUUGGAGAGAUUAUCCUAUACGAGGCAUGAGUCAAGCAGUGCAGUCCAGUUGAAACAUGUCACUUUGAUAGGAUCUUGGGGUGAAAAGGAGCAAGACUGCAAUUUGGCCAAAAAUGCUAAGAUGUCAUUAAGUUCCCAGUCAUGAAGGUUUCUCAACCUUAUGUCCCAAUUGUUAUCUAAUAUGUUGGAUGCGAUGGUAGAAUCUGGUUCAGCUGCAAUGGUGUACAAACUUGGGAAUUUCUCACUCAAAGUUGUAUCCCAAAACCAUAUGUUAUAUUAAAAAAAAAUUAGUUCAUCUCCGAUGAUAUAUUCUU
Molecule: long non-coding RNA, 736 nt
Organism: Capsicum annuum
Lineage: Eukaryota; Viridiplantae; Streptophyta; Magnoliopsida; Solanales; Solanaceae
Exons: 2
Source: RefSeq, a predicted model, not a curated record